UAAUAUUUAUUAUUAUAAUUUAAUAUCUAGGGAAAAUUUAGAAAAUUAAUAGGCAUUUAACCAGCUACAUAAUCUCAGUAAAAGUCCCUCUGAGACCUGGGUACUGGGCCUUAACCUCUGUUCCCAGGCAGACCUAGAUGGUGGUCAAGAGUGACAUGCAGACCGUGGGAACAUUCCGUAACCUAAAAAUGCCGCUUUCAGUUGGUUUAGGAAGAUGUCGAUGGUGUAUGUUGAUGUAAAUAGGGUUUGCAUAAAAGAUAACAGAGAUUUUAAGGCAGCUGGAUUAAGGACUUAAUUUCAAACAGAAGUAUAAACUUAAGAACUAGAGUGAUAGGAGGAAAAUGGAGGAAAAGGUGGAAAGUGGGUGAGAGAGUGGUUUGGUCAGCUUUGAAGGAUCUUCAGUGCCAUUCCCGUGGGCCGGCUUUUAUUCUGAGGUUCUUAGGAAGGGAUGUGGGGAUUGGAAUGGAAUAGCUAGGUCUCUUUUAAAAUAAUAACUCCAUUAGGCCAGGAGAACUUAGAUUAGAGGUGGGGAGAAUCUGAGUCAGGGAAAUGAAAUGCAGUAAUUCACGCGACAGACUCUAAGAACUUAACCCAGAGAGUGCCUUCAAAAUGGAGAGGUUUGCUUGCAUCAGAGACAUUUAGCUAAAAGCGAUGGGCUUAGGGAAGAACGGGAUACAGGUUGUGAGAGAAGGUAUCAGAUCCAGCGCCAUCUCGUUUCUGCCUGGGGAAGGCAGAUGGAACUCAGGAUGGCAGGAGAUGGUGCAUGUUUGCUAUAAAAGGUGGAGUUAAACUUUGUUUAUAGAUGAGUACAAAGCCUAUGAGACAUCAGGUAGGAAAUUCGGAUUUCUGAGUCUAACUUAACAAAGCUUGAGAGGGAUGUAAAUUACAAGUGUAAGGGGGAUAUUUAAAGGAAUGGGGCUCAUCAGAGGUUCAUCAGAUAGAGAGGGAGGAGCUGUGAUUGGAUGUGUUUAGUAAUUUGGGCAUCACCUUAUGAAAGCUGUAAAGCCCUGGCAUGGCCUAACCAGGCAGAAGGCUGAGGAUGGAUUCCUGCAGAAUGCUGAUGUUUAGAGAAAGAGUCAGCAAGAGAGCCAGAGUGAUGGUUUAGUGGGGAACCAGGUAAGUUAGUCAUUGGAGCCAAAGGACUGGGCUGUGAAUAUGUUAAAUGCUAUGAUGUAUUCAUUUGGAGUUAGGGCUUGUAAGAGGCUGUGCGAGAGUCUUUGGAUCCUCAGUCCCUGAUUUGUUAAACGGAAGACUUAGACUAAGGGGUUCUUAGAGCUCUUUUAGCUCUAUCGACAGACACUGUAGAGCUUUGUGGUUAAGGCAAUGGACUCUAGAACCAGGCAGGUCUGGGAUUGGGCUCUGCUCUGCCACUUACCAGUUGUGUGACUCAUGUAGGCGACAUCAUUUCUUUAAACAUUGGUUUUCCCUUUUUGUAAAGUGCAGCUUAAGUGUUAUCUCCUCCUUUGUGGGGCCAUUAAAAAGACCAAGAAAAUACACAUAAGAUACUGGAUGCAUACUGAGAAAUCAAACAAUUUUUGUUGUUGUUAUUAUCCCUGUGAUUCAGACUGAAGAGGCAGCAUUUAGCCAGAUAUGUUUGAAAAGUCUGAGGGACCCUGGGCAUGUGGAUGUCAGAAUGGUAGAGCAUACACUGUGUAGGAAGAAAAUCUAGACUAGAUCCAAGAAGACCCUGUAGAUGGCUAGUUAUUAUUGCAGAGAAAUCUAGGGGACAUUUCAAAGAUAUUUUAAUAAUGUUCUAGACCCACUUUCUUUUUGCAUAAUGUUGAAGCCUGCUCCUCCUUUCCAAAUGGUAUCCUUGAUUUCACGUUGAUCACUUCAGUGUCAGUUUAAUCUCAGUAUGUAAUCAGACCAACCUAUCAGGACUCUCAGUAGGCGGUGAUGGUGGUAAGAACACAUUUGUUUGCGUCCCUUUUUCUAGCAUAUUUACAUGGGUGAAAUUGGAUUAAAAUGGAUGCCAGAUUAUGACUCGAGGGAGAAAAUGAGUCAGCAGUCGGUGGCAGGGAG
Sapajus apella (tufted capuchin) is the source of this 2022-nucleotide long non-coding RNA. RefSeq lists it as uncharacterized. The record is from RefSeq and is a predicted model, not a curated record. The transcript has 2 exons. NCBI's taxonomy places the organism in Eukaryota, Metazoa, Chordata, Mammalia, Primates, Cebidae.